AGAAUAGAAUCUACGCACAGUUUUAUAAAUGAGGCCCCAGGUCUAUUACUUUUUCUUCUACGCCAAAUUGUUUUGUCUGUUGUCACGUUGACUCAGUGAAACGUCUGCUGCAACAGUGUCUCCCUGUUACAAACCCGAUCCUUCCUGUAACGGAACCGGGUUGAGUGUUGCUGCUGGACAGUAGCUGCCUCGCAGCUGCUCACCUCCCAGGUCUCACAGCGCCCCCAGCAGGCGUCAGUGGUGAUGUGCAGGCCCCCGCAGCCGGGCUUCCUGGCCAGGAAGGUGAACUCCCGCACGGCACAACCAAUGA
Molecule: long non-coding RNA, 310 nt
Organism: Perca fluviatilis (European perch)
Lineage: Eukaryota; Metazoa; Chordata; Actinopteri; Perciformes; Percidae
Exons: 3
Source: RefSeq, a predicted model, not a curated record